UACGUAGGUGGCAAGCGUUGUCCGGAUUUACUGGGUGUAAAGGGCGUGUAGCCGGGAAGGCAAGUCAGACGUGAAAUCUGGAGGCUCAACCUCCAAACUGCAUUUGAAACUGCUUUUCUUGAGUAUCGGAGAGGUAAUCGGAAUUCCAGGUGUAGGAGUGAAAUCCGUAGAUAUCUGGAGGAACAUCAGUGGCGAAGGCGGCCUGCUGGACAUCAACUGACGCUGAGGCGCGAAAGCGUGGGUAGCAAAC
Molecule: ribosomal RNA, 250 nt
Filed under: uncultured bacterium
Lineage: Bacteria
Description: partial 16S ribosomal RNA
Rfam family: Bacterial small subunit ribosomal RNA
Source: RNAcentral